ACGUAGGCAGCGAGCGUUGUUCGGAAUUACUGGGCGUAAAGAGUGCGUAGGUGGUUAGCUAAGUUUGGUGUGAAAUCUCCCGGCUCAACUGGGAGGGUGCGCCGAAAACUGGUUGACUAGAGUGUGGGAGAGGGAAGUGGAAUUCCUGGUGUAGCGGUGAAAUGCGUAGAUAUCAGGAGGAACACCUGCGGUGUAGACGGCUUCCUGGACCAUGACUGACACUGAGGCACGAAAGCGUGGGUAGCAAACAG
This 251-nucleotide ribosomal RNA is filed under the name uncultured prokaryote. Its description in RNAcentral is "partial 16S rRNA". It matches the Rfam family "Bacterial small subunit ribosomal RNA", at positions 525 to 775 of the family's 1533-position model. The record is from RNAcentral.